AGCGCUGUAGUUUAAUUUAAAAUAUUAAAUUUACACUCUUUUGAUAUGUUUUACAUUGGCGUUA
Molecule: transfer RNA, 64 nt
Filed under: Eudiplozoon sp. DZ-2018
Lineage: Eukaryota; Metazoa; Platyhelminthes; Monogenea; Mazocraeidea; Diplozoidae
Description: tRNA-Val
Source: RNAcentral